RNAcentral lists this ribosomal RNA (492 nucleotides) under uncultured bacterium. RNAcentral describes it as "partial 16S ribosomal RNA". It matches the Rfam family "Bacterial small subunit ribosomal RNA", at positions 29 to 507 of the family's 1533-position model. The record is from RNAcentral.
AGUGAACGCUGGCGGUAGGCCUAACACAUGCAAGUCGAACGGCAGCACAGUAAUAGCUUGCUCUUACGGGUGGCGAGUGGCGUACGGGUGAGGAAUACAUCGGAAUCUACUUUUUCGUGGGGGAUAACGUAGGGAAACUUACUCUAAUACCGCAUACGACCUACGGGUGAAAGCAGGGGAUCUUCGGACCUUGCGCGAUUGAAUGAGCCGCUGUCGGAUUAGCUAGUUGGCGGGGUAAAGGCCCACCAAGGCGACGAUCCGUAGCUGGUCUGAGAGGAUGAUCGGCCACACUGGAACUGAGACACGGUCCAGACGACUAAGGGAGGGAGCAGUGGGGAAUAUUGGACAAUAGGCGCAAGCCUGAUCCAGCCAUACCGAGUGGGUGAAGAAGGCCUUCGGGGUGUAAAGCCCUUUUGUUGGGAAAGAAAAGCAGCAGGUUAAUACCCCGCUGUUCUGACGGUACCCAAAGAAUAAGCACCGGCUAACUACGUG